AUACUCCCGUGAGACCGAUAGCGAACGAGUACUGUGAAGGAAAGGUGAAAAGAACCCCGAGCAGGGGAGUGAAAUAGAUCCUGAAACCAUACGCCUACAAGCGGUCGGAGCAGCUUCGUGCUGUGACGGCGUGCCUAUUGAAUAAUGAGCCUACGAGUUACUAAUCACUGGCGAGGUUAAGUGCACGGAUGCACGGAGCCGAAGCGAAAGCGAGUCUGAACAGGGCGGCUAGUCAGUGGUUGUAGACGCGAAACCUUGCGAUCUACCCUUGAGCAGGUUGAAGGUUGGGUAAAACCAACUGGAGGACCGAACGAAUAAGCGUUGAAAAGCUUCUCGAUGACUUGAGGGUAGGGGUGAAAGGCUAAUCAAGCUGGGAAAUAGCUCGUACUCCCCGAAAUGCCUUUUGGGGCAGCGUUGUAAUAAAGAGUCUACUGGAGGUAGAGCUACUGAUUGGAUGCGGGGGCUUCACCGCCUACCAAAUCCUGACAAACUCCGAAUGCCAGUAGUAUGAUUUACAGCAGUGAGCGACCGGGUGCUAAUGUCCGGUUACGAGAGUGGAACAACACAGACCAGCAACUAAGGUCCCGAAGAGUAUACUAAGUUGAUCUAACGAUGUUUUGCUGCAGAGACAGCUAGGAUGUUGGCUUGGAAGCAGCUAUUCAUUCAAAGAGUGCGUAACAGCUCACUAGUCGAGCGGCAAAGCGUGGAUAAUAAACGGGCAUCAAGUAUACCACCGAAGUUCUGGGCACGAAAGUGCGGUAGGGGAGCAUUCCAUUGACGUCGAAGCCAUUCCGCGAGGAUAGGUGGAGUUUAUGGAAAAGCAAAUGUAGGCAUGAGUAACGAUAAUGCGGGAGAGUAACCCGCACACCGCAAGACCAAGGUUUCCUGAUCAACGCUAAUCGGAUCAGGGUUAGUCGGGUCCUAAGGGUAAGCCGAACGGUGAUCUCGAUGGACAAUCGGUUAAUAUUCCGAUACUAACAUAUACCUCGAUGGAGAGACGAAGGAACGUAAGUGACGCCGCCUGACGGAAUAGGUGGUUAAAGGGCGUAGGUAUAGGGACAGAUUAAGAGUUAGUCCUUGCUGAAAUCCGACAGUACGGAGCGGCUACGGCCAAUCUGAUAGUUCACCCAAGUCGACUUCCGAGAAAAUCUUCUAAGUUAUAGUAUAUGUUACCCGUACCGUAAACCGACACAGGUGGUCGAGGAGAGUAUCCUAAGGUGCUCGAGUGAAUCACGGUUAAGGAACUAGGCAAAUUAACCCUGUAACUUCGGGAAAAGGGGUCCCUACGCGAGUAGGGCGCAGCGAAGAGGUCCAGGCGACUGUUUAUCAAAAACACAGGGCUCUGCAAAUUCGAAAGAAGACGUAUAGGGCCUGACACCUGCCCGGUGCUGGAAGGUUAAGAGGGGAUGUCAUCGCAAGAGAAGCAUUGAAUCGAAGCCCCAGUAAACGGCGGCCGUAACUAUAACGGUCCUAAGGUAGCGAAAUUCCUUGUCGGGUAAGUUCCGACCUG
This 1510-nucleotide ribosomal RNA is filed under the name human gut metagenome. RNAcentral describes it as "bacterial LSU rRNA". It matches the Rfam family "Bacterial large subunit ribosomal RNA", at positions 470 to 1990 of the family's 2925-position model. The record is from RNAcentral.